GACGAACGCUGGCGGCGUGCCUAAUACAUGCAAGUUGAGCGAUGAAGUUUGGUGCUUGCACCAAUUUGAAGAGCAGCGAACGGGUGAGUAACGCGUGGGGAAUCUGCCUUUGAGCGGGGGACAACAUUUGGAAACGAAUGCUAAUACCGCAUAACAACUUUAAACAUAAGUUUUAAGAUUGAAAGAUGCAAUUGCAUCACCCAAUGAUGAUCCCGCGUUGUAUUAGCUAGUUGGUGAGGUAAAGGGUCAACAAGGCGAACAUACCUAGCCCAACUUGGAGGGUGGUCCGCCACAAUGGGACUGAGAACCGGCCCAAACUUCUUCGGGAGGCAGCAGUAGGGAAUCCUCGGGAAUGGACGGAAGGCUGAACGAGCAACGCCGGGGGAGGGAAGAAGGGUUUCGGAUCGUAAAAAUCCGUUUGUAAGGAAGAACGUUGGUGGGAAUGGAAAGUGCAUGAAGUGACGGUAACUACCCAGAAAGGGACGGCUAACUACGUG
RNAcentral lists this ribosomal RNA (497 nucleotides) under uncultured bacterium. Its description in RNAcentral is "partial 16S ribosomal RNA". It matches the Rfam family "Bacterial small subunit ribosomal RNA", at positions 28 to 507 of the family's 1533-position model. The record is from RNAcentral.